Molecule: long non-coding RNA, 190 nt
Organism: Xiphias gladius (swordfish)
Lineage: Eukaryota; Metazoa; Chordata; Actinopteri; Istiophoriformes; Xiphiidae
Exons: 3
Source: RefSeq, a predicted model, not a curated record
GACGAGAGCCGGCACGGACAGUCACGAAACCAAAGCAUCUGAGGGCCAGCGUGCGGAAGUACUUCUGGUUCUACACCGUAGACGGCGAAGUAACUGACAAAGAGUCUGGCCAUUCUCUCUCCUGUCUCCGUCCCUCUUUCUGGUGACACCACACCUUCAUACAGACAUGUCAGAUGUAGAAGAGGAAUAC